ACCCCGUGAAUCAUCUGGCACCGGCACGGAGAACUUUCUCAACAGCACAUAACGUGAUCCCAGCUUCCUUAGAAACCUGACCGUCAUGGCAGAGCUUUCACAACAGGAUCCCAAGACUGUGUCUCAACCUAGGAUAUAUCCGUGCCCGUAAAUCUGAUGGUGAGGAAUCUCUUCACGAGGGCAAUUCCCCAUCUUGCUGCAUAGCAUUCCCAUGGCUCUGGGGGACACGAGAAUGGCCAUGACCUUAAUAGUGAUGAUGGACUGAGUUAAACUGGAUCAGUGUCCUGUUGGAAGCCCUCUCACAGUUUUCCAGUCCCUCUUGCUUGGCUGCUUUAAAGUAAGUAAGUGCAAUCUAAACUAACAAACAAAUUACUGAGCGUUUUGGAGACAGAUUUCAAAACUUUACAACCAGCUGGUACAGACGCAUUUACAAAAUAGCGAAGCAAUGAGCUUGUCCCUGCAUUUGCUGAGAAAUGGAAGGCUUGGAUAUUUAUGGAAUUUAUUCUUGUCUCAAAACCUCGAGUAGUCCACACUGGUGGAGGGGGAGCCCUCUGUGGUGGGCACGUGCUUUGCCUGUGCAGCAGGGAGAAGUCUGCAGGUGCUACCGGCCAUGGCAGAGUAGCUGUGAGAUGUAAAUGGAUGUGAUGACCAGGAGGGAGGACCAGAGGAGAUGGACCUUCUGGGCUCCGGCAGAUGUUUCAGCUGCCUGUGCGCGAGAAACGAGAGCCUGCAUGACUCUUGUCCCUGCUGGGGUCUACAGAGCAGCCCAAGCCACUACUCAAAGCUUGAAGGAGAGAGGUGAUUUGCACAUCCUGGCUAGUUCAGCAGUUGCAGCUGAAGAAGUUUUCUUCAUUGCGUCAUCCUGGACUAGUUCCUACAUUUCAUCUCACACUGCUCUGCUAUACUUUCCCUGUACAAAGUGGAACCAUCGACUUUCAGCCUAGAAGGUCUAUUUUAAGAUUAAGGGGACAUGAAAUGAGGAAGAUCGUAAGUGAAGUCUCUGUGAAGAAGUUCACUGCACUUCCUCUUUAUGAAAACAAACUGCAGGCUGCCUCUGGCAAAUAUGAGGAUUUUUUUUUAAUGGAAAUGUACAGUGAAGACCUUAAUCCUUGAACCUGUCACAGCCCUGUUCUGUGAAGUCUGUGUAGAGUUUACAUGGGAGCUAUAAAUCAGAAAGAGCACAGAAAUAAGCAGUCUGCACUUCCUAUUGGAUGGCAAUUACAUUAAACUGCAGGGUGUACGCAUCCCCUCCAAGCUCUGAUCCCAGUCAAAACACCUUCUGCAGCAUUUGGCCACCUGUACUGUCACCAAAUCCUGCCACAUCACGGGGAGAAGCAGUACAUGGAGAGCUCUGUGUGCUCAAGCUUUCCAAGACCUACUCUGUGAAAGAGAAGAUUUGAUUGUGGUGAUUUGUAGCAAAUCUCUCAGCAGAAAAACUGGCUACUGAUUGCUACCAGCUUCCUCACGUCUCAGCCUGAAAUUAUUUCUGACCUGAAGAUUUCUGUUUGCUAAUGUCUUGGGAGCCAUUACAUGAGAAGAGAAGGCGUGAGACGAAAUCCUGUUUGCAAGACGUUAGCACGUAUUGGCUCCAGAAGAGAAACUACAAUGACAAUUAGAUUUUGCUGUUGACAACAGAGCGGCUAAUCACUGAAGCUAAAAUCAGAUUACACGAAAUGAAAGUCUGUUGCCUGGCUGCGGCCGUGUUUCAGAUGUUCUUAGAAUAAGUGUACCAAAAGGAAUUGCAAUCCCAUUAUCCAAACAAGAACCAAAAGCCCAAAUCGAAUGCCAGAAAGGUUAAACAACUCCUUCUCAGCUCCCUCCCCUGAUUCAACCAGCCGUCCUGUGGCUCGAGCCCUAUCUCCAGACACAUCCCAUGCUCCUUGUGCUCAUGCCACCUCUGUGCCAGGUGCUGCCUUCAGGUCCCCACCAGCAGCAAAAGCCAAUCCCCCCAAAGCCAACCCACAGCACCCAACCAUCAGCUUCAGCUUGAGAGACAACGUAGACAUAAAUAGAAAAGUCUUGUUAUUUUCUCUUGUUGGUCUCUCAAGCUUUCCCCCUGUUUUUACUCACACACUGGUCUCAUAAGUUUGACAACAAAUCUUAUCUUCUUCUGGACACCCACACCAUGGUCAGAGGCAUUGCAAUGUAAUGUUGGCAAACAUUUUUGGCUGCUUGGUAU
Long non-coding RNA from Cygnus atratus (black swan), 2179 nucleotides. RefSeq lists it as uncharacterized. The record is from RefSeq and is a predicted model, not a curated record. The transcript is spliced from 5 exons. NCBI's taxonomy places the organism in Eukaryota, Metazoa, Chordata, Aves, Anseriformes, Anatidae.